GACGAACGCUGGCGGCGUGCUUAACACAUGCAAGUCGAACGGUGAAGCUCCAGCUUGCUGGAGUGGAUCAGUGGCGAACGGGUGAGUAACACGUGAGCAACCUGCCCCUGACUCUGGAAUAAGCGCUGGAAACGGCGUCUAAUACUGGAUACGAGAAGGGUCCGCAUGGGCACUUUCUGGAAAGUUUUUCGGUUGGGGAUGGGCUCGCGGCCUAUCAGCUUGUUGGUGAGGUAAUGGCUCACCAAGGCGACGACGGGUAGCCGGCCUGAGAGGGCGACCGGCCACACUGGGACUAAGACACGGCCCAGACUCCUACGGGAGGCAGCAGUGGGGAAUAUUGCACAAUGGGCGAAAGCCUGAUGCAGCGACGCCGCGUGAGGGAUGACGGCCUUCGGGUUGUAAACCUCUUUCAGCAGGGAAGAAGCGAAAGUGACGGUACCUGCAGAAGAAGCACCGGCUAACUACGUG
RNAcentral lists this ribosomal RNA (468 nucleotides) under uncultured bacterium. Its description in RNAcentral is "partial 16S ribosomal RNA". It matches the Rfam family "Bacterial small subunit ribosomal RNA", at positions 28 to 507 of the family's 1533-position model. The record is from RNAcentral.